Molecule: ribosomal RNA, 499 nt
Filed under: uncultured bacterium
Lineage: Bacteria
Description: partial 16S ribosomal RNA
Rfam family: Bacterial small subunit ribosomal RNA
Source: RNAcentral
GACGAACGCUGGCGGCGUGCUUAACACAUGCAAGUCGAACGGGCCCGCUCUCUUUUUUGGGGGUGGGUUGAGUGGCGAACGGGUGAGUAUCACGUGAGUAACCUGCCCCCUGCUCCUGGAUAACUGCUUGAAAGGGCGGCUAAUACGGGGUGUGCCGGCUGGUCCGCAUGGGCCUGGUCGGGAUAGUUUCAUCUUCGGGGGUUUCGGUGGGGGAUGGGCUCGCGGCCUAUCAGCUUGUUGGUGGGGUGAUGGCCCACCAAGGCGGUGACGGGUAGCCGGCCUGAGAGGGUGGGCGGCCACACUGGGACUGAGACACGGCCCAGACUCCUGCGGGAGGCAGCAGUGGGGGGUAUUGCACAAUGGGCGGAAGCCUGAUGCAGCGACGUCGCGUGAGGGAUGGAGGCCUUCGGGUUGUGAACCUCUUUCUCCGGUGGUGAAGGCCCUGUCCGUUGCGGCGGGGUUGACGGUAGCCGGGGAUGAAGCGCCGGCUAACUACGUG